Molecule: ribosomal RNA, 428 nt
Filed under: uncultured bacterium
Lineage: Bacteria
Description: partial 16S ribosomal RNA
Rfam family: Bacterial small subunit ribosomal RNA
Source: RNAcentral
UGGGGAAUCUUGCGCAAUGGGCGAAAGCCUGACGCAGCGACGCCGCGUGAGUGAUGAAGGCCUUCGGGUUGUAAAGCUCUGUGGGGAGGGACGAAUAAGGCGAAGCGAACAGCUUCGUUGAUGACGGUACCUUCUUAGCAAGCACCGGCUAACUCUGUGCCAGCAGCCGCGGUAAGACAGAGGGUGCAAACGUUGUUCGGAAUUACUGGGCGUAAAGCGCGUGUAGGCUGCUCGGAAAGUUGGGUGUGAAAGCCCUGGGCUCAACCCAGGAAGUGCACUCAAGACUUCCGAGCUGGAGUCUCGGAGAGGGAAGCGGAAUUCUCGGUGUAGAGGUGAAAUUCGUAGAUAUCGAGAGGAACACCGGUGGCGAAGGCGGCUUCCUGGACGAUGACUGACGCUGAGACGCGAAAGCGUGGGGAGCAAACAGG